AAGGAUCAUUACAGAGUUCAUGCCCUCACGGGUAGAUCUCCCACCCUUGAAUAUUAUACCUUAGUUGCUUUGGCAGGCCGGGGUAACCCCCGGGGCUUCGGCCUCGGUGCGCCUGCCAGAGGAAACAAACUCUGUUCUUAGUGAUGUCUGAGUACUAUAUAAUAGUUAAAACUUUCAACAACGGAUCUCUUGGUUCUGGCAUCGAUGAAGAACGCAGCGAAAUGCGAUAAGUAAUGUGAAUUGCAGAAUUCAGUGAAUCAUCGAAUCUUUGAACGCACAUUGCGCCCCGUGGUAUUCCGCGGGGCAUGCCUGUUCGAGCGUCAUUUCAACCCAUCAAGCUUCGGCUUGGUCUUGGGGCCUGCGAUUCCGCAGCCUCUAAACCCAGUGGCGGUGCCUCCGAGCUCUGAGCGUAGUAAUUCUUCUCGCUAUAGGGUCUCGGUGGUGUCUUGCCAGUAACCCCCAAUUUUUUACAGGUUGACCUCGGAUCAUGUAGGGAUACCCGCUGAACUUAAGCAUAUCAAUAAGCGGAGGAAAAGAAACCAACAGGGAUUACCUCAGUAACGGCGAGUGAAGCGGUAACAGCUCAAAUUUGAAAUCUGCCGCAAGGCCGAGUUGUAAUUUGUAGAAGAUGCUUUGGGUAUGGCCCCGGUCUAAGUUCGUUGGAACACGACGUCAUAGAGGGUGAGAAUCCCGUAUGUGACUGGGUGCUUUUGCCUAUGUAAAGCUCUUUCGACGAGUCGAGUUGUUUGGGAAUGCAGCUCAAAAUGGGUGGUAUAUUUCAUCUAAAGCUAAAUAUUGGCCAGAGACCGAUAGCGCACAAGUAGAGUGAUCGAAAGAUGAAAAGCACUUUGGAAAGAGAGUUAAACAGUACGUGAAAUUGUUGAAAGGGAAGCGCUUGCAACCAGACUUGCACGCUGUUGAUCAUCCAGGCUUCUGUCUGGUGCACUCGGCAGUGUUCAGGCCAGCAUCGGUUCUGGUGGUGGGAUAAAGGCCUUGGGAAUGUAGCUUCUUUCGGGGAGUGUUAUAGCCCUCGGUGCAAUGCCGCCUAUCGGGACCGAGGACCGCGCUUCGGCUAGGAUGCUGGCGUAAUGGUUGUAAGCGACC
Molecule: ribosomal RNA, 1104 nt
Filed under: uncultured Lemonniera
Lineage: Eukaryota; Fungi; Ascomycota
Description: eukaryotic LSU rRNA
Rfam family: Eukaryotic large subunit ribosomal RNA (bases 476-1104)
Source: RNAcentral